This 488-nucleotide ribosomal RNA is filed under the name uncultured bacterium. Its description in RNAcentral is "bacterial SSU rRNA". It matches the Rfam family "Bacterial small subunit ribosomal RNA", at positions 24 to 518 of the family's 1533-position model. The record is from RNAcentral.
UCAGGAUGAACGCUGGCGGCGUGCUUAAUACAUGCAAGUCGAACGAAGCUUCUCGCCGAAGUUUACUUCAUGAGAAAACUUAGUGGCGGACGGGUGAGUAACGCGUGGGUAACCUGCCUUACACAGGGGGAUAACAGUUAGAAAUGACUGCUAAUACCGCAUAAGCGCACAGUAUCGCAUGAUACAGUGUGAAAAACUCCGGUGGUGUAAGAUGGACCCGCGUCUGAUUAGCUAGUUGGUGAGGUAACGGCCCACCAAGGCGACGAUCAGUAGCCGGCCUGAGAGGGUGAACGGCCACAUUGGGACUGAGACACGGCCCAAACUCCUACGGGAGGCAGCAGUAGGGAAUAUUGGACAAUGGGGGAAACCCUGAUCCAAGCGACGCCGCGUGAGUGAAGAAGUAUUUCGGUACGUAAAGCUCUAUCAGCAGGGAAGAAAAUGACGGUACCUGACUAAGAAGCACCGGCUAAAUACGUGCCAGCCGCAGC